UCCAGAGGCAAAGGAGCACUGCU
RNAcentral lists this microRNA (23 nucleotides) under Gallus gallus (chicken). RNAcentral's name for it is "gga-miR-1690-5p". The record is from miRBase by way of RNAcentral. Lineage: Eukaryota; Metazoa; Chordata; Aves; Galliformes; Phasianidae.